This 3862-nucleotide long non-coding RNA is filed under the name Canis lupus familiaris (dog). RNAcentral describes it as "lncRNA (ENSCAFG00000059038.1)". The record is from RNAcentral. Lineage: Eukaryota; Metazoa; Chordata; Mammalia; Carnivora; Canidae.
UUUUUUUUUUUUUUUAAGAUUUUAUAUAUUUGGGCAGCCCUGGUGGCGCAGCGGUUUAGCGCCGCCUGCAGCCCAGGGCGUGAUCCUGGAGACCCUGGAUCGAGUCCCACGUCCGGCUCUCUGCAUGGAGCCUGCUUCUCCCUCUGCCUGUGUCUCUGCCUCUCUCUCUCUGUCUGUGUCUCUAUGAAUGAAUAAAUAAAUAAAAAUAAAUAAAUAAAUAAAUAAGAUUUUAUAUAUUUAUUCAUGAGAGACACACAGAGAGAGAGGCAGAGACACAGGCAGAGGGAGAAGCAGGCUCCAUGCAGGGAGCCUGAUGUGGGACUCGAUCCUGGGUCUUCAGGAUCACACCCUGGGCUGAAGGCGGCACUAAACUGCUGAGCCACCCAGGCUGCCCAAUACUUCACAUUCUUAAACAAUGUGUAGAACACAACCAUUUCUUUAUGACUCCACAAUUACUAUAAACUCAACUUGUACUGCAUUGCUUGUUCCUAUGCUGGCCCCAAGAAUGAUGUGACUUUUCUCUUAUCCAACACUUUAUUUACUUCCACCUACUAAUUUCAUCAGUUAACUCAAAAAUGAACUCUCUUGAAUUCAUUCUGCUUUCUGAUCUGUAAGAUUAGAAUUUAGAUUAGGUUUCUAGGACUAGUAUGUAAGGUAGGAAAGAGGAGCAAGGUUAUGGGAGAAGGACUUUUUCUUUUGCAGUAAAAUGCAUGGGCUUUAUCGGUUCCCUUAACAAAUCUCCAUUGAGUUUCUUGUGCUAGGCUUCCAGUUCUUUGUCUUUAGCUGUUGGUCUAACAGGGCUUCCGUAUAUGGGUCUGGGACAUCCAUUGGCUGCUGGGAGACUUUGGAUUAUUUCCUGGUUCUUAGUAUUCCGCAUUUUUCAAAUAGAGAAUUCCAGAAAUGGCAGUAUAUAUGAAAGUUUAUAUUUAUAUAUUUUUUUAAAGUUUAUAUUUUUAAAAUAAAGAUUAUUGCCUUAAAGAAAAUUUUUGCAGGAUUUGUUGAGAUGGAAGCCACUCCUAGACAUCAAGUAUGUGACAUGACUUAAAAGUUACAUAUGUGCUCGCUUCGGCAGCACAUAUACUAAAAGUUACAUAAGUCUGUAACUCAUGAAGUAUCUAUGGAGCAAGUUUUGCUUUUCAGACUCUUUUAGUACCAUUUUAUCUAUUAGGUGGAAACAAUUAUGGCAUGGCCUAUACUGAAGACAUGUAUAGUUUUUAUAUUCCACAUAUGGCCUUAAGUAAGGAUGAGAAAGAAGUAUUUUACUAUGGAUUGGAUUCUGUGUAGGAGAGAAAUUAAUAGAUAUUUGGGGAUGGGACACCUGGGUGGCUCAAUGGUUGAGCGUCUGCCUUUGGUUCAGGGCGUGAUCCUGGAGACCAGGGAUUGAGUCCCACAUUAGGCUGCCUGCAUGGAGCUUGCUUCUCCCUCUGCCUGUGUCUUUGCCUCUCUCUCUCUCUCUCUCUCUGUCUCUCUGUCUCUCGUGAAUAAAUAAAUAAUCUUUUUUUAAAAAAUAGAUAUGUGGGGAAAAGAAGGAUAUUUGGCACAGUGAUUAUUACUUUAUUCGUUCAUAGAUUAUUUAGCCUCUUGCCUAAGAAAAAAUAUUUUGAGCUUUUUUGGCGGGGUGGUGAUGGUGAGGUGGUGUUUUAUUACUGUUGUCAUUAAUAAUGUGAAAUUUAUCUUUAGAAAACUUAACCAUAAGUGAACCUGCCGGGCAGCCCGGGUGGCUCAUCGGUUUAGCACUGCCUUCAGCCCAGGGUGUGACCCUGGAGACCCGGGAUCGAGUCCCACAUCGGGCUCCCUGCAUGGAGCCUGCUUCUCCCUCUGCCUGUGUCUCUGCCUCUCUCUCUCUCUCUGUGUCUCUCAUGAAUAAAUAAAUAAAAUCUUUUAAAAAAUUAAAAAAAAAAUAAGUGAACCUGCCUUUCUAGAAAUUGAUAACACUUUAGUUCUCUGCCUGGAUUCUUGACAGAUAUUUAUCUUGCUGGUUUAAAAACAAUUUGAAAAUAAUGGAAGUCACAGUGGGCUCUGGUAAGUUGUUAACAAAUAAGUAAAUGUUGCUUUGGACUUGUGAUGGUUUUAAAAUCUAUCCACAGCUUCUAUAUAUAGAAUAUAUUCCUUUCUAAGUGGAGAAGUUUAAUUCCCCUUCCUUUGAGCAUGGGCUGAAUUUAAUGAUUCCCUUCCAACAAAUAAAAUAUGGAAGAGAUCAAUGAGGAGGGCACUUAAUGGGAUGAGCAUUGGGUUUUAUACUAUAUGUUACCAAAUUGAACUUAAAUUUUAAAAAAUGUAAAAAGAAAAAAAUAUGGAAGAGAUGGUGUGUCACUUCUGAGGGAAGGUAAUGGAAGGCAUUGCUUCCACUUUGUCCAGGAUCACUCACUCUGGGAAGGCCAGCUGCCAUAGCAUGAGGGCAUUCAAGCAGCACUGUAGAGAGGACAUAGAGGUGAGGGAGCCAUAUUGGAAGUAGAUCCUCCAAUCUAAUUCAGGUGACCGUAGUCCUGGCUGACACCUUGACGCAGCCUCGUGAGAGACCCUGUACCAGGACCACCCAGCUAAGCCACUCCCAAAUUUCCAAAACACAAAAACUGAGAAAAUAAAUUGUUGUUUAAGCUACUGUCUUGGGAGUAAUUUCUUAAUGUAGCAAUAGAUUCUGAGAAAAGUUGGGUGCCUAGGGUAUGCCAGGUUGUUACUUUAAGUAUAGAACAUUGUCUGCUUAUUUCAAACUAUGUAAAGUGUAAGCUACCAAUAUUACAUUUGUUCUCAGGGAAAAUUGGACCUGCGAUGUUCUACCCUUGAAGUUUGAGUUCAUGGUAUCACUAAAUAGAAGUAAACUACCAAGGUACCAAGCAGGCCUCAAAUUUCAUUUCCAAGGAAUACGAUGAUCAAUUGCCUGGAAGCCCAACUGGGGCUGUUCCAAAAUGAAACCAGAGAAUUUGAGAAGAUUCUGGCCAUGAGGAUUCAUUCAGUGAGCUAAGCAGUCCAUGUGGCCUCCUGACUCCCUUCCCUUCUGCCUUAACUACUGAGUUGCUGACAGCUUGUUACCAAUCUGGAUUGUUGACAUUAUACACUUAAUUGCUAGGCUGUCAGAUGAGCAUGUUGCUGUGGAAGUAGUUAAAGGCUUUUUAUAAAGUUAGAAUUGAUCUUGUCUUGCUAGCCUUUGCUAAAACCAGGCAAAGGUAAUCUACCUGCACUUUCAAAGUGGCAAGUGUAGUCCGGACAUUCUCCAGAGUCCUUGUACAAGAAUCUCAUGCAUGUGCUCAGCAUGCCAUUGCUAGUUCUGUCUGCAGGGACUGGGAGUCAGGUGAUUUGGGUUUAGUCCUGGCCCUGCUGGUACCUAACACUUGGGCAAACUCCCAUCUCUCUAACCUCAGGGUUUUCAUUUACGAAAUUACAGGUUUGGUACUCUGUGAAUCUCAAAGGAGGCCUCAGACAUAUCUUCCAAGUUCCUGAGGGGCUUUUUCAAACAAAACGUUUCCACCUUCCUCUUCUUGGUUGGAAACCAUGGCCAUAGGGAGCUUUUAUCACUGAGGGGACUGUGGAGCACCCCUUCAUGUCAAGGUGGGAAGAUGGCAGGGAGCCAUUGGGCAAGAUAGCAGAAGCAUUCAGUCCAGUGCUAGGAGCUGGGUCCCAAGGCAAGUAGACAAGAUUGCCCUCCCAUCUUCACAAUUGCUCCCUCCCUCAACCUCUUUUCUUUCUCCCUCCCUCCUUACUUGUUUCUUCCUUUUCUUUUUUGAAAUCCUUUACAAUAUUGAUUUGUUUUAUACAUUUUUUUCUGUUUUUAUUUAAAUUCCAGUUAAUACAACAGCAUAAUAUUAGUUUCAGGAAUACAGUACAGUGACUCAGCACUUCCAUAUGACACCCAGUGCUCAUCACA